This 492-nucleotide ribosomal RNA is filed under the name uncultured bacterium. Its description in RNAcentral is "partial 16S ribosomal RNA". It matches the Rfam family "Bacterial small subunit ribosomal RNA", at positions 29 to 507 of the family's 1533-position model. The record is from RNAcentral.
AGUGAACGCUGGCGGUAGGCCUAACACAUGCAAGUCGAACGGCAGCACAGUAAGAGCUUGCUCUUACGGUUGGCGAGUGGCGGACGGGUGAGGAAUACAUCGGAAUCUACUUUUUCGUGGGGGAUAACGUAGGGAAACUUACGCUAAUACCGCAUACGACCUACGGGUGAAAGCAGUGGAGCUUCGGACCUUGCGCGAUUGAAUGAGCCGAUGUCGGAUUAGCUAGUUGGCGGGGUAAAGGCCCACCAAGGCGACGAUCCGUAGCUGGUCUGAGAGGAUGAUCAGCCACACUGGAACUGAGACACGGUCCAGACUCCUACGGGAGGCAGGAGUGGGGAAUAUUGGACAAUGGGCGCAAGCCUGAUCCAGCCAUACCGCGUGGGUGAAGAAGGCCUUCGGGUUGUAAAGCCCUUUUGUUGGGAAAGAAAAGCAGCAGGUUAAUACCCCGCUGUUCUGACGGUACCCAAAGAAUAAGCACCGGCUAACUUCGUG